AGAUUUUUUUUUCUUCCUAUUUUUGACGAUUGGAGCCCUUAAGAUGCACGAUGGAAUUGUGUUUUGCAUUUUUUGGUAAAAGGAGCAAAGCGAGGACCUGGAGAUAUACGCUGGAGCAAUCUCCUUGGAAGGAUUCAGCACGAGUAGAUGAUUGAGUAACCCAUCUUGCUGUUCAGCCCACAUGCUGGAAACAAAAGGCUGACUGGUUCCUGGAUGUGUUUAUCUGCUUCUGCUACUGAUCCAGACUGCAGAACUCAUUCCUCCUCGAGGCCUGCAAGCAGUAACCAAUUGUGUAUUCAUGGGAAAAGUUGGAGAUGGUGACCUUGAUUAGAAUGUGUCUGGAGAGGAUGAUAGGAGACAGUUGGUUAUGAAAGAUGUUGAAGUCUUGAAUAGUGAGAAAUUUUUUGUAAACCAGAGUUUAUAGAAAUAUCACUGAUACGGCCUGCCCCCUCAAUUCCUGCCACAGGAGACUUCUAGGGCUGGAGACACUUGUUUAAUAGCUUGUCUAUUCC
Molecule: long non-coding RNA, 512 nt
Organism: Myotis brandtii (Brandt's bat)
Lineage: Eukaryota; Metazoa; Chordata; Mammalia; Chiroptera; Vespertilionidae
Exons: 3
Source: RefSeq, a predicted model, not a curated record